AUACGGAGGGUGCAAGCGUUAUUCGGAAUCACUGGGCGUAAAGGACGCGUAGGCGGGUUGGCAAGUCAGAUGUGAAAUCCUACAGCUUAACUGUAGAACUGCAUUUGAAACUGCUAACCUAGAGUAUGGGAGGGGGGGAUGGAAUUAGUGGUGUAGGGGUAAAAUCCGUAGAUAUCACUAGGAAUACCGAAAGCGAAGGCGAUCUCCUGGAACAUAACUGACGCUAAGGCGUGAAAGCGUGGGAAGCAAACAGGAUUAGAUACCCUAGUAGUCC
RNAcentral lists this ribosomal RNA (274 nucleotides) under uncultured bacterium. RNAcentral's name for it is "partial 16S ribosomal RNA". It matches the Rfam family "Bacterial small subunit ribosomal RNA", at positions 523 to 796 of the family's 1533-position model. The record is from RNAcentral.